GACGGACCACACGAACGUUAUUCGGAAUUACUGGGCUUAAAGGGUGCGUAGGCUGUGCAGAAAGUUGGGUGUGAAAUCCCUCAGCUUAACUGAGGAAGUGCGCCCAAAACUACUGUGCUCGAGGGAGACAGAGGUGAGCGGAACUUAGGGUGGAGCGGUGAAAUGCGUUGAUAUCCUAAGGAACACCGGCGGCGAAGGCAGCUCACUGGGUCUCUUCUGACGCUGAUGCACGAAAGCUAGGGUAGCGAACGGG
This 253-nucleotide ribosomal RNA is filed under the name uncultured Blastopirellula sp. Its description in RNAcentral is "partial 16S ribosomal RNA". It matches the Rfam family "Bacterial small subunit ribosomal RNA", at positions 524 to 776 of the family's 1533-position model. Lineage: Bacteria; Pseudomonadati; Planctomycetota; Planctomycetia; Pirellulales; Pirellulaceae. The record is from RNAcentral.